This 1193-nucleotide ribosomal RNA is filed under the name uncultured fungus. RNAcentral describes it as "eukaryotic LSU rRNA". The stretch from base 561 to 1193 matches the Rfam family "Eukaryotic large subunit ribosomal RNA", at positions 1 to 649 of the family's 3401-position model. The record is from RNAcentral. Lineage: Eukaryota; Fungi.
AAGUCGUAACAAGGUUUCCGUAGGUGAACCUGCGGAAGGAUCAUUAACAGAGAGGAACAAGUUUCCUUGGGGCCCAGGCCCCGUCUCUUCACCCUGUGCCAACCUACCGUCGUUGCUUUGGCGUGCCGGGGGUCAUCCCCUAUUUGUCGGCAGCGGGUCUGAAAAAGAACGCUCCGGCAGAUCGUGCUCGUCAGAAGCCCAUUAAAUUCCGUUCAUCAGUGUUGUCCGAGUCAAAAAACAUAAAUAGUAAAAAACUUUCAACAACGGAUCUCUUGGUUCUGGCAUCGAUGAAGAACGCAGCGAAAUGCGAUAAGUAAUGUGAAUUGCAGAAUUCAGUGAAUCAUCGAAUCUUUGAACGCACAUUGCGCCCCUCGGAAUUCCGGGGGGCAUACCUGUUCGAGCGUCAUUGCACCCCUCAAGCUCCGGCUUGGUAUUGGGUUUCGCCCCCGGGGCGCACCCGAAAAGCAGUGGCGGUCCGGGGAGACUUUAAGCGCAGUAAAAUUUUCCCUCGCUUUGAAAGUCCACCCCGGGGCUUGCUCAACCCCCCGAUAUUCCACGAUUGACCUCGGAUCAGGUAGGGAUACCCGCUGAACUUAAGCAUAUCAAUAAGCGGAGGAAAAGAAACCAACAGGGAUUGCCUCAGUAACGGCGAGUGAAGCGGCAACAGCUCAAAUUUGAAAUCCGGUCCUUUCAGGCCCCGAGUUGUAAUUUGUAGAGGAUGUUUCGGGCGCGGCGCGGGUCUAAGUCCUUUGGAACAGGGCGUCAUAGAGGGUGAGAAUCCCGUAUGCGACCCGUCACCAAGCCCAUGUGAAACCCCUUCGACGAGUCGAGUUGUUUGGGAAUGCAGCUCAAAAUGGGUGGUAAAUUUCAUCUAAAGCUAAAUACCGGCCAGAGACCGAUAGCGCACAAGUAGAGUGAUCGAAAGAUGAAAAGCACUUUGGAAAGAGAGUCAAAAAGUACGUGAAAUUGUUGAAAGGGAAGCGCUUGCAACCAGACCUGUCCGCGGGCGAUCAGCCCCCGUUCUCGGGGGUGCACUCGUCGGCGAUCAGGCCAGCAUCGGUUCGGGCGGCCGGACAAAGGCCCGGGGAAUGUAGCUCUCUCCGGGGAGUGUUAGAGCCCCGGGUGCAAUGCGGCCAGCUCGGACCGAGGACCGCGCUUCGGCUAGGAUGCUGGCGUAAUGGUUGCAAGCGACC